AAUUUUUUUCAGACCACCUUAGGAAGUGAUUUCAUUAGCUCUUUGAAGUUAAGCAAGGUCAGGCCCGGUCAGCACAUGAAUGGAAAACCUUCAGGGAAAUCAUGCUUCAGAAGGUA
RNAcentral lists this ribosomal RNA (116 nucleotides) under Gopherus agassizii (Agassiz's desert tortoise). The record is from RNAcentral. Lineage: Eukaryota; Metazoa; Chordata; Testudines; Testudinidae.